Molecule: ribosomal RNA, 460 nt
Filed under: uncultured bacterium
Lineage: Bacteria
Description: partial 16S ribosomal RNA
Rfam family: Bacterial small subunit ribosomal RNA
Source: RNAcentral
CCUACGGGCGGCAGCAGUGAGGAAUAUUGGUCAAUGGACGAGAGUCUGAACCAGCCAAGUAGCGUGAAGGAUGACUGCCCUAUGGGUUGUAAACUUCUUUUAUAUGGGAAUAAAAUGUUCCACGUGUGGGAUUUUGUAUGUACCAUAUGAAUAAGGAUCGGCUAACUCCGUGCCAGCAGCCGCGGUAAUACGGAGGAUCCGAGCGUUAUCCGGAUUUAUUGGGUUUAAAGGGAGCGUAGGUGGAUUGUUAAGUCAGUUGUGAAAGUUUGCGGCUCAACCGUAAAAUUGCGGUUGAAACUGGCAGUCUUGAGUACAGUAGAGGUGGGCGGAAUUCGUGGUGUAGCGGUGAAAUGCUUAGAUAUCACGAAGAACUCCGAUUGCGAAGGCAGUUCACUGGACUGCAACUGACACUGAGGCUCGAAAGUGUGGGUAUCAAACAGGAUUAGAUAUCCGUGUAGUC